Molecule: small nuclear RNA, 19 nt
Filed under: Arabidopsis thaliana (thale cress)
Lineage: Eukaryota; Viridiplantae; Streptophyta; Magnoliopsida; Brassicales; Brassicaceae
Description: snRNA_09080
Source: RNAcentral
AGUCUGUAAAGAAAGCUAC